Molecule: ribosomal RNA, 427 nt
Filed under: uncultured bacterium
Lineage: Bacteria
Description: bacterial SSU rRNA
Rfam family: Bacterial small subunit ribosomal RNA
Source: RNAcentral
UGGGGAAUUUUGGACAAUGGGGGCAACCCUGAUCCAGCCAUCCCGCGUGUGCGAUGAAGGCCUUCGGGUUGUAAAGCACUUUUGGCAGGGAAGAAAAGGCGCAGGUUAAUACCCUGUGCUGCUGACGGUACCUGCAGAAUAAGCACCGGCUAACUACGUGCCAGCAGCCGCGGUAAUACGUAGGGUGCAAGCGUUAAUCGGAAUUACUGGGCGUAAAGCGUGCGUAGGCGGUUUGGCAAGAAAGAUGUGAAAUCCCAGGGCUUAACCUUGGAACUGCAUUUUUAACUGCCAGGCUAGAGUAUGUCAGAGGGGGGUAGAAUUCCACGUGUAGCAGUGAAAUGCGUAGAGAUGUGGAGGAAUACCGAUGGCGAAGGCAGCCCCCUGGGAUAAUACUGACGCUCAGGCACGAAAGCGUGGGGAGCAAACA